Molecule: ribosomal RNA, 312 nt
Filed under: uncultured eukaryote
Lineage: Eukaryota
Description: partial large subunit ribosomal RNA
Rfam family: Eukaryotic large subunit ribosomal RNA
Source: RNAcentral
AUAUCAGUAAGCGGAGGAAAAGGAACUAACAAGGAUUCCCCCAGUAACGGCGAGUGAAGCGGGACCAGCUCAAAUUUAGAAUCUCUGUCGAAAGGCAGCGAAUUGUAGUCUAAAGAAGGAGAGGCAGGGUGUGGGGGUGGAUCAAGUCCCUUGGAAUAGGGCGCCAGAGAGGGUGAGAGCCCCGUAACGUUCACCCUUUAGCCUGUGGUCUGAUCCUUUCGACGAGUCGAGUUGUUUGGGAAUGCAGCUCAAAGCGGGUGGUAAAUCUCAUCCAAGGCUAAAUACUGGCAAGAGACCGAUAGCGCACAAGUA